Molecule: ribosomal RNA, 508 nt
Filed under: uncultured bacterium
Lineage: Bacteria
Description: bacterial SSU rRNA
Rfam family: Bacterial small subunit ribosomal RNA
Source: RNAcentral
AGUGAACGCUGGCGGCGUGCCUAACACAUGCAAGUCGAGCGGAGUCGAUCGACGGAAGCCUUCGGGCGGAAGAUGGUUGACUUAGCGGCGGAUGGGUGAGUAACGCGUGGGCAACCUGCCUCGAAGACCGGGAUAACAGCCCGAAAGGGCUGCUAAUACCGGAUGUGGUCAAGGAUCCGCAUGGAUUUUUGAUUAAAGGGGAAACCCGUUUCGAGAUGGGCCCGCGUCCUAUCAGCUAGUUGGUGAGGUAAAAGCUCACCAAGGCGACGACGGGUAGCCGGCCUGAGAGGGUGACCGGCCACACUGGAACUGAGACACGGCCCAGACUCCUACGGGAGGCAGCAGUGGGGAAUCUUAGACAAUGGGGGAAACCCUGAUCUAGCCAUGCCGCGUGAUCGAUGAAGGCCUUAGGGUUGUAAAGAUCUUUCAGAUGGGAAGAUAAUGACGGUACCAUCAGAAGAAGCCCCGGCUAACUCCGUGCCAGCAGCCGCCGGUAAAGAGUAGUACA